GGUUAAGCGACUAAGCGUACACGGUGGAUGCCCUGGCAGUCAGAGGCGAUGAAGGGCGUGCUAAUCUGCGAUAAGCGCCGGUAAGGUGAUAUGAACCGUUAUAACCGGCGAUACCCGAAUGGGGAAACCCAGUGUGACUCGUCACACUAUCAUUAACUGAAUCCAUAGGUUAAUGAGGCGAACCGGGGGAACUGAAACAUCUAAGUACCCCGAGGAAAAGAAAUCAACCGAGAUUCCCCCAGUAGCGGCGAGCGAACGGGGAGGAGCCCAGAGCCUGAAUCAGCAUGUGUGUUAGUGGAAGCGUCUGGAAAGGCGCGCGAUACAGGGUGACAGCCCCGUACACAAAAGCGCAUGUGCUGUGAGCUCGAUGAGUAGGGCGGGACACGUGGUAUCCUGUCUGAAUAUGGGGGGACCAUCCUCCAAGGCUAAAUACUCCUGACUGACCGAUAGUGAACCAGUACCGUGAGGGAAAGGCGAAAAGAACCCCGGCGAGGGGAGUGAAAAAGAACCUGAAACCGUGUACGUACAAGCAGUGGGAGCCCCACCACCAAAGCAUUCUCUGGUGUUGAAGGCCCUGCAAAGCAGCAUCGCGGUGGCGGAGCGUCGUUUGCGACGCCCAACACACAAAACAAGCGGUGAGUGCUUUGGGGUGGGGUGACUGCGUACCUUUUGUAUAAUGGGUCAGCGACUUAUAUUCUGUAGCAAGGUUAACCGAAUAGGGGAGCCGGAGGGAAACCGAGUCUUAAUUGGGCGUUAAGUUGCAGGGUAUAGACCCGAAACCCGGUGAUCUAGCCAUGGGCAGGUUGAAGGUUGGGUAACACUAACUGGAGGACCGAACCGACUAAUGUUGAAAAAUUAGCGGAUGACCUGUGGCUGGGGGUGAAAGGCCAAUCAAACCGGGAGAUAGCUGGUUCUCCCCGAAAGCUAUUUAGGUAGCGCCUCGUGAACUCAUCUCCGGGGGUAGAGCACUGUUUCGGCUAGGGGGCCAUCCCGGCUUACCAACCCGAUGCAAACUGCGAAUACCGGAGAAUGUUAUCACGGGAGACACACGGCGGGUGCUAACGUCCGUCGUGAAGAGGGAAACAACCCAGACCGCCAGCUAAGGUCCCAAAGUCAUGGUUAAGUGGGAAACGAUGUGGGAAGGCCCAGACAGCCAGGAUGUUGGCUUAGAAGCAGCCAUCAUUUAAAGAAAGCGUAAUAGCUCACUGGUCGAGUCGGCCUGCGCGGAAGAUGUAACGGGGCUAAACCAUGCACCGAAGCUGCGGCAGCGAACGUAUCACCCAAGACAACUUUGCGGAGUUGACGAUUGACGGAGCGAAGCGACGUCAAAGCGUUCAUUAAAGUCGAGUUGGCUUAGGGAUACGUUCGUUGGGUAGGGGAGCGUUCUGUAAGCCAGUGAAGGUGUGUCGUGAGGCAUGCUGGAGGUAUCAGAAGUGCGAAUGCUGACAUAAGUAACGAUAAAGCGGGUGAAAAGCCCGCUCGCCGGAAGACCAAGGGUUCCUGUCCAACGUUAAUCGGGGCAGGGUGAGUCGACCCCUAAGGCGAGGCCGAAAGGCGUAGUCGAUGGGAAACGGGUUAAUAUUCCCGUACUUGGUGUUACUGCGAAGGGGGGACGGAGAAGGCUAUGUUGGCCGGGCGACGGUUGUCCCGGUUUAAGCGUGUAGGCUGGUUUUCCAGGCAAAUCCGGAAAAUCAAGGCUGAGGCGUGA
RNAcentral lists this ribosomal RNA (1708 nucleotides) under Salmonella enterica. RNAcentral's name for it is "partial 23S ribosomal RNA". It matches the Rfam family "Bacterial large subunit ribosomal RNA", at positions 1 to 1566 of the family's 2925-position model. Lineage: Bacteria; Pseudomonadati; Pseudomonadota; Gammaproteobacteria; Enterobacterales; Enterobacteriaceae. The record is from RNAcentral.